ACGUAGGGGGCAAGCGUUGUCCGGAAUCAUUGGGCGUAAAGGGCGCGUAGGCGGCCUGGUAAGUCUGGAGUGAAAGUCCUGCUUAUAAGGUGGGAAUUGCUUUGGAUACUGUCGGGAUUGAGUGCAGGAGAGGUAAGUGGAAUUCCCGGUGUAGCGGUGAAAUGCGUAGAGAUCGGGAGGAACACCAGUGGCGAAGGCGACUUACUGGAAUGUAACUGAUACUGAGGAGCGAGAGUGUGGAGAGCAAACAG
This 251-nucleotide ribosomal RNA is filed under the name uncultured prokaryote. RNAcentral describes it as "partial 16S rRNA". It matches the Rfam family "Bacterial small subunit ribosomal RNA", at positions 525 to 775 of the family's 1533-position model. The record is from RNAcentral.